Molecule: ribosomal RNA, 467 nt
Filed under: uncultured bacterium
Lineage: Bacteria
Description: partial 16S ribosomal RNA
Rfam family: Bacterial small subunit ribosomal RNA
Source: RNAcentral
GACGAACGCUGGCGGCGUGCUUAACACAUGCAAGUCGAACGGAAAGGCCCUGCUUUUGUGGGGUGCUCGAGUGGCGAACGGGUGAGUAACACGUGAGUAACCUGCCCUUGACUUUGGGAUAACUUCAGGAAACUGGGGCUAAUACCGGAUAGGAGCUCCUGCUGCAUGGUGGGGGUUGGAAAGUUUCGGCGGUUGGGGAUGGACUCGCGGCUUAUCAGCUUGUUGGUGGGGUGGUGGCUUACCAAGGCUUUGACGGGUAGCCGGCCUGAGAGGGUGACCGGCCACAUUGGGACUGAGAUACGGCCCAGACUCAUACGGGAGGCAGCAGUGGGGAAUAUUGCACAAUGGGCGGAAGCCUGAUGCAGCAACGCCGCGUGCGGGAUGACGGCCUUCGGGUUGUAAACCGCUUUCGCCUGUGACGAAGCGUGAGUGACGGUAAUGGGUAAAGAAGCACCGGCUAACUACGU